GACGAACGCUGGCGGCGUGCCUAACACAUGCAAGUCGAGCGAGUGAAUCUCCUUCGGGAGUGAAGCUAGCGGCGGACGGGUGAGUAACACGUGGGCAACCUGCCUCAUAGAGGGGAAUAGCCUUCCGAAAGGAAGAUUAAUACCGCAUAAGAUUGUAGCUUCGCAUGAAGUAGCAAUUAAAGGAGCAAUCCGCUAUGAGAUGGGCCCGCGGCGCAUUAGCUAGUUGGUGAGGUAACGGCUCACCAAGGCGACGAUGCGUAGCCGACCUGAGAGGGUGAUCGGCCACAUUGGGACUGAGACACGGCCCAGACUCCUACGGGAGGUAGCAGUGGGGAAUAUUGCACAAUGGGGGAAACCCUGAUGCAGCAACGCCGCGUGAGUGAUGACGGCCUUCGGGUUGUAAAGCUCUGUCUUCAGGGACGAUAAUGACGGUACCUGAGGAGGAAGCCACGGCUAACUACGUGCCAGCCGCCGCGGUAA
Molecule: ribosomal RNA, 480 nt
Filed under: uncultured bacterium
Lineage: Bacteria
Description: partial 16S ribosomal RNA
Rfam family: Bacterial small subunit ribosomal RNA
Source: RNAcentral